GCCGGGCAUGGUGCCGCGUGCCUGUAGUUCCAGCUACUUGGGAAGCUGAGGCUGGAGGAUCGCUUGAGUCCAGGAGUUCUGGGAUGUAGUGUGCUAUGCGACUCGAUUGUCUGCACUAAGUUCGGCAUCAAUAUGGUGACCUCCCAGGAGCGGGGGACCACCAGGUUGCCUAAGGAGGGGUGAACCAGCCCAGGUUGGAAAUGGAGCAGGUCAAAACUCCUGUGCUGAUCAGUACUGGGAUGGCACCUGUAAAUAGCCACUGCACGCCAGCCUGGGCAACAUAGUGAGACCCCAUCUCU
This 299-nucleotide signal recognition particle RNA is filed under the name Cebus imitator (Panamanian white-faced capuchin). RNAcentral describes it as "Metazoan signal recognition particle RNA (ENSCCAG00000004502.1)". It matches the Rfam family "Metazoan signal recognition particle RNA". From Rfam's summary of the family: The signal recognition particle (SRP) is a universally conserved ribonucleoprotein. The record is from RNAcentral. Lineage: Eukaryota; Metazoa; Chordata; Mammalia; Primates; Cebidae.